AUGGCAUCUCUUGUGCAUGACUCCAUACUGAAUGACUGCAACAGGAAUUGAUAGGGGUACAUCUUACCCGGCAGUGCUUGGCUGUUCACUGAUGUUCUAACACUGUCUGGUAACGAUGCACUCUGGGGGCUCAGUCACCGUGCAUGGAGUUAAUUGAAUAUGAACAUAAAAGUGAAGUAUAUGAAAUAAAGCAUGUUGGCAUGUGACUAGAAUAUGUUUUUUAAAUCAAAUCAGUGAUUUAAAAUGGAAAAACCAGUUGAGACGGCUUGAUUGAUAUAAAAGGAGUCUGAUUAAAUACCAGAGAAGAAAAUAGACCAUCAGGUCUGAACCGCACCCUGUUUCAUCCAAAUGCCUGCAUGAAUGUCACGAAAGUAAUUCCUCCAUAUCACACACCCUCUAAUGUGUGCUAGUCAAGAUCAGUUCAUCCUCCUUUUCUUGUGUCUUAUUGUGUGCAUGACACCUGAGAUCUGUGUGACAACACUAAUUGAACUGCACCUACACAGUUCACCUUUCCUGUUUGCUGUACAGAACAGGAAGUGAUGAUUUGAAACCCAUUUUACUUCUUUUCCUGGUCAUAUAAUGGAAAAUGCAAAGAAGCUAACUUUUAAGCAAUUUAAUGAUAAAAGAAACAUGCAAAUAACCCACACACUCAAAUAUGACAAAUAUUGUUUGUUAUAUCUAUGACCCAGUAAAAUAUUUUGUUUGUAUUCUGAAUGUGAAGAAGGAAUAAUGUCACUUUCUGUUCAUUAAGUAAUUGCAAUUGUUCACCGAGAAAUGAAAAUUCUGUCAUCAUUUACUCAACUUCAUGCACUUGUUUUUGCCUGAACAAAACAUUAUACAUAACCUGAUCAAGUUUACAUCACAAUCUAUAUGGAUGCUGACUCUUCUGACAUUGACCCUUUAGGUUUAUGGUUUAUUAACCUGCCAUGAUGAAUAUCUGCUUGCACUUUAUGCUUUACUAGACCCUUUAAACAGUUUCCUUUAAGACCUUUCUCCUGAAAAAAAAUAACCACUUUAAUUCGUCAUUUUCUUUUUGUCUGCUUUCAUCUCUUCUAGUCACAUGACAUCAGACCUUUUCUUCUGCCUCUCCGCUGCAGUAAAAUCCUUUGAUUUGUGUCUUACCAGGCAAGGUUAGAUGUUGAUACUCUGUCUAAUACUGCCUGGUAAUGCCAUCAAUCACGAGGAAUUUGAUCAACAUUUAUCCUUUUCCUAAUGUAGUGACACUGUGACAAUGUAACAUUGACACAUUUUUAGAAUUGCUGUCUAAUACAGUAUUGAGUAUGUAUUUUCUUUUGACGUAUUAAAGAAUAUGGAUCUGACUGUU
Molecule: non-coding RNA, 1324 nt
Organism: Pimephales promelas (fathead minnow)
Lineage: Eukaryota; Metazoa; Chordata; Actinopteri; Cypriniformes; Leuciscidae
Source: RefSeq, a predicted model, not a curated record